UAAUCCACGCCGUAAACGAUGAUAACUAGCUGUCCGAACCCACAGGGUUUGGGUGGCGCAGCUAACGCAUUAAGUUAUCCGCCUGGGGAGUACGGUCGCAAGAUUAAAACUCAAAGGAAUUGACGGGGGCCUGCACAAGCGGUGGAGCAUGUGGUUUAAUUCGACGCAACGCGCAGAACCUUACCAGCUUUUGACAUCCUGGUCGCGGAUUUGGGAGACCAUUUCCUUCAGUUCGGCUGGACCAGUGACAGGUGCUGCAUGGCUGUCGUCAGCUCGUGUCGUGAGAUGUUGGGUUAAGUCCCGCAACGAGCGCAACCCUCAUCCUUAGUUGCCAGCAUUUAGUUGGGCACUCUAAGGAAACUGCCGGUGAUAAACCGGAGGAAGGUAAGGAUGACGUCAAGUCAGCAUGCCCCUUAUGCUCUGGGCUACACACGUGCUACAAUGGCCGUGACAAAGAGUUGCUACUUUGUGAAACAAGCUAAUCUCAUAAACGCGG
Molecule: ribosomal RNA, 496 nt
Filed under: uncultured bacterium
Lineage: Bacteria
Description: bacterial SSU rRNA
Rfam family: Bacterial small subunit ribosomal RNA
Source: RNAcentral